CUACGGGAGGCAGCAGUGGGGAAUAAUUCACAAUGGGGGCAACCCUGAUGGUGCAACGCCGCGUGGAGGAUGACGGUCUUCGGAUUGUAAACUCCUGCCAUCUGGGAGAAAGACCUGACGGUAAAUAGCCGGCAGGGUUGAUAGUACCAGAAGAGGAAGGGACGGCUAACUUCGUGCCAGCAGCCGCGGUAAUACGAAGGUCCCGAGCGUUGUUCGGAAUCACUGGGCGUAAAGGGAGCGUAGGCGGCGCGGUAAGUCGGAUGUGAAAUCCCGGGGCUCAACCCCGGAACUGCAUCUGAUACUGCCGUGCUAGAGUAAUGGAGAGGUAGCUGGAAUUAUCGGUGUAGCAGUGAAAUGCGUAGAUAUCGAUAGGAACACUCGUGGCGAAAGCGAGCUACUGGACAUUUACUGACGCUGAGGCUCGAAGGCUAGGGUAGCGAAAGGGAUUAGAAACCCCGGUAGUCCG
This 466-nucleotide ribosomal RNA is filed under the name uncultured bacterium. RNAcentral's name for it is "bacterial SSU rRNA". It matches the Rfam family "Bacterial small subunit ribosomal RNA", at positions 339 to 797 of the family's 1533-position model. The record is from RNAcentral.